Molecule: non-coding RNA, 1249 nt
Organism: Leptonychotes weddellii (Weddell seal)
Lineage: Eukaryota; Metazoa; Chordata; Mammalia; Carnivora; Phocidae
Source: RefSeq, a predicted model, not a curated record
GAAAACAAUCUCCCAUUUUUUCCACUUUAAAUAACUACUUCUAUUGGGGAGGGCUCUUUCUGGCGUGUUGGUGGUGAAAGUGGUGGAAGGGGCGAGGGGGGCGAGUUCAGAACUUUGCCUGCACUGGGAGGGUGGGAGGACCUGGGAGGGAGGAACAAAAGUGGUUUUGUUUGGUGAUGCCGAGUUGACCGGGCAGCCCUGGAAGCCCUCACCCGGGAAGGCAGCGAGCUGUUUGCUUGUUUACAGAGAAGUUUCAUCUGUACAAAAAAAGGAGCUCUGGUAUCUUCUGCUGAGACUUUCAGUAGAAAAUCCUUCAAAAGAGAGAAGAAAGAAAAGAAAGAGAGCUAUUUUGAAAGCCGACUUUCUAAAAUUAUAUUUAGAUAGCUUUCUCCGUGCCAUGGGAAGCAUGGCUCCUAGUAGCUUUGGUUUCUCAUCUCAUCCUAGCAGCCCUUUUACUAGCAAAGAAAGAAGAUUUCUUCCGCUUUGGCUCCAGCCUGUAAACAAUCUCAAGAAUGACUUGCAUUGGAUCAACAGAGGUUGCAUACUCCUUCCCAAACCAAACACCAAGCCAGGAAGAUGGGCUUUAGGAAGGUGAGCAUGGUGAGCUUGGGUGCCAUAUUUUGAAGUGUUGGAGCCACAAAAUGGAAGAAGGCUGGAUCCCUGCAGAUUUCUGGGAGAAGGGUCAGGAACCAAUCAGGACCAUCUGUGUUAGACUUUAAGCGAACAAGAGAUAAACUUAUACCAAUUUUAUGCCACUAUAUUUGUUGGGGUUGUUUGUGGUAGCAGCUAGAGUUAUCUUAACCAAUAUGUGUGUGCAUUGAAUUGAUCUAUUAUCCCUGGAACAUGUGUCUGGCUUUUGCACGUACUUUUCCUUAGAAUUCUCAUUCUCUCCUUCCAAUUAUUCACAUCCUAAAAAUUAUUCAAGGCCUAAACCAAGUCCAUUCACUUCCAAGCAGCUCUCUUUCACACCCAUCAGCCACAGUGAUAUCUCUUUCCCCCAAUUCCUAUAGCACUUUCUUGUCUAUGCCUUUCAUGUGCCCUUGUCGUAGCUUCAAUUUUGGAUGUCUUGUUUUCCCAGGGAGGUUGUAAGCUCUUAAAGGUUUAAGAUCAUGUUUUUAUGCUUCUUGUAUGUCUCUGAAGUAUGUAAUAUGGUAUUGUGCCUUGGGAAUUUUCAAUAAAUAUUUGUGGGAAAAAUGAAUUUAUAAAUGUAUUAGGCUCAAUAAAAUCUAUUUUCCUAAAAACAGUCCUU